GCGGAGCUUAAUGUGUAAGGUCCAAAAAGGGUAAUUUGACUGAUUCUUUUUAAAGUAUUUUUAAAGUAAACUAACAAAAAUAAAUGAAAUACACAUUUUUAAACAGCAAUAUAUGCGAUAGGUUAAAACAGAUAUUUCAUAUCUUUUGGAUAGUUUUGUGGUGUUUCGUAAAUUAUACCAUAGCUUUUGUUGAAACCCCUCGGCAACC
Molecule: long non-coding RNA, 208 nt
Filed under: Mytilus galloprovincialis (Mediterranean mussel)
Lineage: Eukaryota; Metazoa; Mollusca; Bivalvia; Mytilida; Mytilidae
Source: RNAcentral